CUCUUAACGGCUUCUCUGCAGUCUUACUCUGCCCUGAUGCUUGCAGCCCUGAACUUUCCUUGGCUGAAAGAACGUAGCCUACUUCUAAGAUUCCAACAUCCAGAAAGACAGAGUAAAAUCAAGCCCAAUAAAACAGGUGCAAAACUUCUGAAGAUUUGCAGAAGACAGUAAGAGAACCACCAAGAAGGCUAUAGCAGUAUUAUGUGUCAAGAUCAAAUGAGUGACCUUCAAGGAGCAAAAAUGUUUACUUUAAAACAUGUUGAAAUAAAGUAGUACUGUUAUCCCCUUAAUAAGUACUCUGUAAUUUUUCUUAAAGUUAACUUGAGAUAUUUUUGUUCCAGUAAAAUGGAUGUUUUUAAAAUGAGACUUUUGAUAUUUGAAUCCGUCUUUUUAAUUUCUAAUAAAAAUAAUAUAUUCACAUUAAUAA
Molecule: long non-coding RNA, 427 nt
Organism: Pezoporus occidentalis (night parrot)
Lineage: Eukaryota; Metazoa; Chordata; Aves; Psittaciformes; Psittacidae
Exons: 3
Source: RefSeq, a predicted model, not a curated record